Polistes dominula (European paper wasp) is the source of this 991-nucleotide long non-coding RNA. The record is from RefSeq and is a predicted model, not a curated record. Lineage: Eukaryota; Metazoa; Arthropoda; Insecta; Hymenoptera; Vespidae.
UUUCUUUUUUUUUUCUUUUAGUGAAACAGUGAAUUCUCUCCUUAAACACGAAAUUUUACGACGACAUGACAUCGUCUUUAGGAAUCGGUGUUGAAUUAUCCAUGUGAUCAUGUGAAUUUCAAAUGAUUACGAGUUAUACAUGGAUCAAAAAUGUUUUUAGAACAAGAAGAAUAUUUUCGAAGGGAUAACUCAUGCUCUGGAAUGUUUAUUAAUCUUAUUGGAAAAACAACGAAAAUCUCUCUAACAAAAAUUGAAUCAAUUUAAAAAAAAAAAAAACUUUUCUUGGAGAAAGGAUUGUUAAAAUUUUUGAAGAUUAAAACGAUGAUGGACGACGAGGCGUCUAUUUUCUGGGCAUCUAUCUUGAUGGUCUGUGGUACUGUGAUGAUGGUAAUAUUACUCACAUGCUAUAUUUGUCUCUUUCGAGAUUUGUGUUGUCCAGCCGGGGUUAGCACUACAAGAAAACGAACGAUUCGUCGUAAUAAUAUGAGAGUUGCUGAAGGAAACAAUCUGCAAAAAUUCGACGAAAUACCUAUGAACGAAAUAACUCAAGGUGAUAGCAGCAUGCCAACGGAAUCCGAAAAAUUUUAAAAACGGGAUCUAUAAACUUUAAUACGUUCUUUGUCAAUUACUCGUAAUUGUUAACUUAUUGUUCAUCGACGAAGUUGAUUUUGUAUCGCUUUUAGCGGAAGAAAGGAAAAAUGAGAUAAAGAAGAAAAACAACAACAAAAUAUUCGAAGAAGUAAAAGAAACAAUAUGAACAUGAUUAAAAAUAAAAAAAACAGCCAUCAUCCUUCAAAAUUAUUAAUCGAACGGAACGACGACAUUUUACGUUGUGCUGUGUGGACUGUUAGUGUUUUAAGAGCCUCUGAGGUAUUAAAUUUUAUUCCAUGAUCUCAUAGGUCUUUCUUUGUCUAUUUUUUUUUGUGUAUGUAUGUACAUGCUUAGAUAUACAUCAAUAUACAUAUGUCGCGUCUAAUCGUACAUAUACACA